UACGUAGGGGGCAAGCGUUGUCCGGAUUUAUUGGGCGUAAAGAGCUCGUAGGCGGUCUGUUGCGUCUGCUGUGAAAACCCGGGGCUCAACCCCGGGCCUGCAGCCGAUACGGGCAGACUAGAGUUCGGCAGGGGAGACUGGAAUUCCUGGUGUAGCGGUGAAAUGCGCAGAUAUCAGGAGGAACACCGGUGGCGAAGGCGGGUCUCUGGGCCGAUACUGACGCUGAGGCACGAAGGCCAGGGGAGCAAACGGG
Molecule: ribosomal RNA, 253 nt
Filed under: uncultured bacterium
Lineage: Bacteria
Description: partial 16S ribosomal RNA
Rfam family: Bacterial small subunit ribosomal RNA
Source: RNAcentral